RNAcentral lists this ribosomal RNA (498 nucleotides) under uncultured bacterium. RNAcentral describes it as "partial 16S ribosomal RNA". It matches the Rfam family "Bacterial small subunit ribosomal RNA", at positions 28 to 523 of the family's 1533-position model. The record is from RNAcentral.
GAUGAACGCUAGCGGCAGGCCUAAUACAUGCAAGUCGAGGGAGAAUGUUGGACUCGUCUGACAUGAAACCGGCGCACGGGUGCGUAACACGUAUGCAACCUACCUUUAACUGGGGUAUAGCUCAGAGAAAUCUGAAUUAAUCCCCCAUAAGACUACGACAUGGCAUCAUGAUGUAGUUAAAGCUCCGGCGGUUAAGGAUGGGCAUGCGGUACAUUAGCUAGUUGGUGAGGUAAUGGCUCACCAAGGCUACGAUGUAUAGGGGGUCUGAGAGGAUGAUCCCCCACACUGGUACUGAGACACGGACCAGACCCCUACGGGAGGCAGCAGUAGGGAAUAUUGGUCAAUGGACGAAAGUCUGAACCAGUCAUGCCGCGUGAAGGAUGAAGGCCCUAUGGGUCGUAAACUUCUUUUAUUAGGGAAGAAAAAACGGGAUGCGUCCUGUACUGACGGUACUUAAUGAAUAAGGAUCGGCUAACUUCGUGCCAGCCGCCGCUGUAA